UUGGGCUUACCUCAUUUCCACCGUGCUGCCGAAGAAGCACACGGUGUCCGUGGUCAGGUGGAUUUCAAGCACUGGGACGGAGGAGCCCCCACCGCCAUGUUUCCUCUCUGCGCUGUUGAUUCGCAUAGAGCCGUUCAUGCCAAAGUGGACUCUACAGGAGGAUUUGCAGUGUUAGUAAAGCGUAUGAAAGCAAAUACUUUUGAGAUAAUACGUACAGAGAAGCAGUUUUGGCAGAGCGGAAGCCACCACAUUGGAGUGUCAAUCAACAGUGAGCGUUAUCAUCAUCUUAGUGACGAAUCAGUGAUUCUGAUGCAGGUCGAAUAUUGGAUCUCAUUAGAUCUUGGUGCUGUGAUUUGAUUCCAGAAUCACCCAGAUUAAUGACUCAAGGAUCAAAAUCAAAAUCAUCUGGAAGCUACAGGCCCCCACAGACUCCCUGAAAACACUACAAAUUUCUGCUUCUAACGAGGACGUUUGGCGCGAGCCACGCCAGCUAACGAGUCGGCGCUGACGAGGAGGAGGACACUCGACGUGUUGCCACUCGUGCUCGCUGUGGCUACUGCCAACAUUUAUUGCACGUUAGUCGUACAAUGCUUAACAGAUGUAAUAGACCAUCAGUCAUAAAGAGAGC
This is a long non-coding RNA of Phyllopteryx taeniolatus (common seadragon), 628 nucleotides long. RefSeq lists it as uncharacterized. Lineage: Eukaryota; Metazoa; Chordata; Actinopteri; Syngnathiformes; Syngnathidae. The transcript has 3 exons. The record is from RefSeq and is a predicted model, not a curated record.